UACGUAGGUGACCAGCGUUGUCCGGAUUUACUGGGCGUAAAGAGCGCGCAGGCGGUCGUUCAAGUCGAGUGUGAAAGCCCCCGGCUCAACUGGGGAGGGUCAUUCGAUACUGAUCGACUUGAAGGCAGGAGAGGGAAGUGGAAUUCCCGGUGUAGUGGUGAAAUGCGUAGAUAUCGGGAGGAACACCAGUGGCGAAGGCGACUUCCUGGCCUGUUCCUGACGCUGAGGCGCGAAAGCUAGGGGAGCAAACGGG
RNAcentral lists this ribosomal RNA (253 nucleotides) under uncultured bacterium. RNAcentral's name for it is "partial 16S ribosomal RNA". It matches the Rfam family "Bacterial small subunit ribosomal RNA", at positions 524 to 776 of the family's 1533-position model. The record is from RNAcentral.